This 264-nucleotide ribosomal RNA is filed under the name uncultured archaeon. Its description in RNAcentral is "partial 16S ribosomal RNA". It matches the Rfam family "Archaeal small subunit ribosomal RNA", at positions 717 to 982 of the family's 1478-position model. The record is from RNAcentral.
ACACGACUACAUUAGAUACCCCUGUAGUCCCAGCCCUAAACGAUGCGCGUUAGGUGUAUCGGUGACCACGAGUCACCGAGGUGCCGAAGGGAAACCGUGAAACGUGCCGCCUGGGAAGUACGGUCGCAAGGCUGAAACUUAAAGGAAUUGGCGGGGAGCACCACAACGGGUGGAGCCUGCGGUUUAAUUGGACUCAACGCCGGAAAACUCAUCGGGAGCGACAGCAGUAUGAUUGCCAGGUUGAUGACCUUGCUUGACAAGCUG